Molecule: long non-coding RNA, 850 nt
Organism: Astyanax mexicanus (Mexican tetra)
Lineage: Eukaryota; Metazoa; Chordata; Actinopteri; Characiformes; Acestrorhamphidae
Exons: 2
Source: RefSeq, a predicted model, not a curated record
UCUCUACCUUGCUCUCUCCCAGCGUGUGUGUGCUGCACGGAGCUGGAGAUAAAUGUCCAUUUUGUGUGUGAGCAAAUAUUGAGUAAAGACGCUGUUUAAACUGUACUACAGUGAUACACAAGUACCCUCGUUGGAGAUUUUUUUAGUUAUCAACCGAGUUGGAUAAACUUUUGCGCUGUUUGAUUGAGGGAGACUCCGGUUGUUUUAAUAGACGGGAGAAACGAGUGAACUUGUCAAAUCCAAGAUGGCGAGCCAACCCUGAAACUACGAUCCCCAGAAUCCUAUGCGAGCGUUUUCCCGCCACCCGAGCCCCAACGGCGCCUCGAGGAGGGAAACAGAUAAGAGGAGCAGAGUCACACACACACACACUCUCUAAAAAAAAAAACGUAGUCUACCCGGGUAGUGAAGAGACCCACUUUUUCUGACAAUAGCAAACUCAAAUCAUAAAAAAAAGAAGAAGAGACACGGACUGAAACAAACAUAAAAAAAGGGGACUGUUGGUUUUUUUUUUUUACAUUUAAAUGCUGUUUCACGAAGAAGAUUGUGAUUAGUUAAUGAGUUCUGUAAGGGUUGUUGAGCAGAUUGUGUUCUGAUUUACUUGAUACUGCAUAGAUGCAUGCACUGUAUUUCUUUAUUUUGAGGUUUUGGAUUUUGUUUUGUUUAUUAACUCAUUCAGUGAAUUUACAGUAUUAAGCCCCAUUGAAUUAAGCCACAUCCCCUUUUUAUUAUUUUUUCCCUUUCCCCAUUUAAUUUCAUCCACACCCAUAUUCUCUUCAUAGUCACUAAAGGUACAUUUUAUUUAUUUUUGUUCUUUUAAUAAAUAACCUGCAUCUUGAACUCUGUAUAAAUA